Molecule: ribosomal RNA, 419 nt
Filed under: bacterium
Lineage: Bacteria
Description: partial 16S ribosomal RNA
Rfam family: Bacterial small subunit ribosomal RNA
Source: RNAcentral
UGGGGGAUAUUGCACAAUGGGCGAAAGCCUGAUGCAGCGACGCCGCGUGGGGGAUGAAGGCCUUCGGGUUGUAAACUUCUUUUGCUCUGAACAAGGCGCACCAUGGGGUGUGUUGAGUGUAGGGGUUGAUUAGCGCCGGCUAACUACGUGCCAGCAGCCGCGGUAACACGUAGGGCGCGAGCGUUGUCCGGUAUUAUUGGGCGUAAAGGGCUUGUAGGUGGCUGGUUGCGUCUGUCGUGAAAGCUCAUGGCUUAACUGUGGGUUUGCGGUGGGUACGGGCUGGCUUGAGUGCAGUAGGGGAGGCUGGAAUUCCUGGUGUAGCGGUGGAAUGCGCAGAUAUCAGGAGGAAUACCGGUGGCGAAGGCGGGUCUCUGGGCUGUUACUGACACUGAGGAGCGAAAGCAUGGGGAGCGAACAGG